RNAcentral lists this long non-coding RNA (461 nucleotides) under Lathyrus oleraceus (garden pea). RNAcentral describes it as "Pisum sativum (pea) long non-coding RNA (PSAT_LNC029553)". Lineage: Eukaryota; Viridiplantae; Streptophyta; Magnoliopsida; Fabales; Fabaceae. The record is from RNAcentral.
UGAAGGAUUUGAUUUCAAUGUUUCAAGGUUUAAGAGGACUUGGCUUCACGCAUUUUUGAAUUCAUAUAUAUUCGUUGGCUCCCUCUAAUUGGCCAGCUAGCGCGCGCUUUUGAUUUCUUAUUUUGUUUUAUUAUUUUAUUUUUUUGGAUGCGCCUCUGAAUCACCAAAGGGUACUUGGCCAAGUGGAUGAGGGGGUUGACCCCCCAUGACCCCAAGGUCAGGGGUUCAACCCCCAGAGCACGCAUUUGUUCCAGUUUUGUUACUUUUCUUUUUGUUUGAUUUAUUUUUACCCCAUUUAUUUCCCAUUUUCAUUUUAUUUUCCCCCCACUUAUUUUUUACUUUGCUGAUAAUAUUCCCAAUACAAACGCAUAUUGUUUUUAUCUCUAAUAUUUUAUUAUGCUUUAUUUUAUUUCAUUUGAGUAACUUUUUAUGGAUUUAUGAGGCCUUGAACAUGAGUAGGU